This 500-nucleotide ribosomal RNA is filed under the name Lentilactobacillus parabuchneri. Its description in RNAcentral is "bacterial SSU rRNA". It matches the Rfam family "Bacterial small subunit ribosomal RNA", at positions 47 to 542 of the family's 1533-position model. Lineage: Bacteria; Bacillati; Bacillota; Bacilli; Lactobacillales; Lactobacillaceae. The record is from RNAcentral.
UAGGAUGCUUGCAUUUAACUGAUUUAACAUUGAGACGAGUGGCGAACUGGUGAGUAACACGUGGGUAACCUGCCCUUGAAGUAGGGGAUAACACUUGGAAACAGGUGCUAAUACCGUAUAACAACCAAAACCACCUGGUUUUGGUUUAAAAGAUGGCUUCGGCUAUCACUUUAGGAUGGACCCGCGGCGUAUUAGCUUGUUGGUAAGGUAACGGCCUACCAAGGCAAUGAUACGUAGCCGACCUGAGAGGGUAAUCGGCCACAUUGGGACUGAGACACGGCCCAAACUCCUACGGGAGGCAGCAGUAGGGAAUCUUCCACAAUGGACGAAAGUCUGAUGGAGCAACGCCGCGUGAGUGAUGAAGGGUUUCGGCUCGUAAAACUCUGUUGUUGGAGAAGAACAGGUGUGAGAGUAACUGUUCACAUCUUGACGGUAUCCAACCAGAAAGCCACGGCUAACUACGUGCCAGCAGCCGCGGUAAUACGUAGGUGGCAAGCGUU